This 253-nucleotide ribosomal RNA is filed under the name uncultured bacterium. Its description in RNAcentral is "partial 16S ribosomal RNA". It matches the Rfam family "Bacterial small subunit ribosomal RNA", at positions 524 to 776 of the family's 1533-position model. The record is from RNAcentral.
UACGUAGGGACCGAGCGUUGUCCGGAAUCAUUGGGCGUAAAGAGCGUGUAGGCGGCUAUUUAAGUCCUGCGUGAAAUCCUGCGGCUCAACCGCAGACGGUCGUGGGAAACUGGAUGGCUAGAGUGCGGGAGAGGAGAGUGGAAUUCCCGGUGUAGCGGUGAAAUGCGUAGAGAUCGGGAGGAACAUCAGUUGCGAAGGCGGCUCUCUGGACCAGCACUGACACUGAGGCACGAAAGCGUGGGGAGCAAACAGG